AUUGUAUCUUUUUGAUAUAAUCGAACCACUGUAACUAAUCGAGAAUGAUUAACGCCAAGAAGGUACCCGCAUCUCUACAAUGAUGGAAGACCUCUAGACUUAAUAUUUAAUGAAAAAAAUUAGAUUUAAGUCUCUUCUAAAUCAGUAGAUCUGACAUCCGACUGAUUAAAUUUAGAUUAGCACAUCAACAUGUCAACCAGCUU
This 203-nucleotide long non-coding RNA is filed under the name Elaeis guineensis (African oil palm). RNAcentral's name for it is "long non-coding RNA (EGUI_LNC065675)". Lineage: Eukaryota; Viridiplantae; Streptophyta; Magnoliopsida; Arecales; Arecaceae. The record is from RNAcentral.